GUCUACAGUCAUAUUACCGUCAUCCUGGAAACUAAGCAGGGUUGGGUCCGGCCAGUACUUGGAUGGGAGAUUGCCUGGGAACACCGGGUGAUCUUAGCUU
This is a ribosomal RNA of Macaca nemestrina (pig-tailed macaque), 100 nucleotides long. The record is from Ensembl. NCBI's taxonomy places the organism in Eukaryota, Metazoa, Chordata, Mammalia, Primates, Cercopithecidae.